RNAcentral lists this non-coding RNA (21 nucleotides) under Caenorhabditis elegans. Lineage: Eukaryota; Metazoa; Nematoda; Chromadorea; Rhabditida; Rhabditidae. The record is from RNAcentral.
UAUUAACCUAUCCAAAAAAGU